CCUACGGGAGGCAGCAGUGAGGAAUAUUGGUCAAUGGCCGAGAGGCUGAACCAGCCAAGUCGCGUGAGGGAAGACGGCCCUACGGGUUGUAAACCUCUUUUGUCGGGGAGCAAAGAGAUUCACGUGUGACUCAUUGAGAGUACCCGAAGAAAAAGCAUCGGCUAACUCCGUGCCAGCAGCCGCGGUAAUACUGAGGAUGCGAGCGUUAUCCGGAUUUAUUGGGUUUAAAGGGUGCGCGGGCGGCGGGGGAAGUCAGCGGUCAACUUGCGGGGCUCAACCCCGUACUGCCGUUGACACUGCAUGCCUUGAGUGCGCGAGAAGUAUGCGGAAUGCGUGGUGUAGCGGUGAAAUGCAUAGAUAUCACGCAGAACUCCGAUUGCGAAGGCAGCAUACCGGCGCGCAACUGACGCUCAUGCACGAAAGCGUGGGUAUCGAACAGGAUUAGAUACCCGGGUAGUC
This 459-nucleotide ribosomal RNA is filed under the name uncultured bacterium. Its description in RNAcentral is "partial 16S ribosomal RNA". It matches the Rfam family "Bacterial small subunit ribosomal RNA", at positions 338 to 795 of the family's 1533-position model. The record is from RNAcentral.